UACGAGGGGGGCUAGUGUUGUUCGGAAUUACUGGGCGUAAAGGGAGCGUAGGCGGGUGCUUAAGUUGGAUGUUUAAAACCGGGGCCCAACCCCGGCGCGGCAUUCAAAACUGGGCAUCUUGAAUGGGACAGAGGCCAGUGGAAUUGGAGGUGUAGCGGUGGAAUGCGUAGAGAUCUCCAAGAACACCAGUUGCGAAGGCGGCUGGCUGGGU
RNAcentral lists this ribosomal RNA (211 nucleotides) under uncultured prokaryote. RNAcentral describes it as "partial 16S ribosomal RNA". It matches the Rfam family "Bacterial small subunit ribosomal RNA", at positions 524 to 734 of the family's 1533-position model. The record is from RNAcentral.